UCUUCACAGGUGGCUGUUAGCUCUAAAUGAACUCAUUUAUUUUGAAAGCAUGAUUUAAAGUAUAGUUUUAAACUAUAAGCAUUUCAGAAGUGAUGACCCAUGACUCAAAUCUCAAAAAUAAAUGCUACAGUUCACAGUUGGAAUAUGGACACAAGAAAAAUAAUAGGUGAUGCCACUGAAAGGUAAACAUACCAUUCUGACAUGCAUGAAAAUGAAACGACAAAUUGAUACACGCAGUGCUUGGAAUGGAUGGAGUCCUUCUAAUGAGUGAUUACCUGUGGUAUAACUAUAUUGAUUGUGUUUGUACAUGUCAAAUGGGGCUGGCGAGGAUGAACUUGA
RNAcentral lists this long non-coding RNA (339 nucleotides) under Homo sapiens (human). RNAcentral's name for it is "HSALNT0102600". Lineage: Eukaryota; Metazoa; Chordata; Mammalia; Primates; Hominidae. The record is from RNAcentral.